GACGAACGCUGGCGGCGUGCCUAACACAUGCAAGUCAGGGGGAAAGCUGGCUUCGGCCAGUAACACAUGCAAGUCGGACGAUUUUUGUGGACGCGGAUCUUUCGGGAGAAGCGUUCAUGGAGAUAGUGGCGGACGGGUGAGUAACGCGUGAAGUACCUGCCCUGGGGAGGGGGAUACCGUCUGGAAACGGACGUUAAUACCCCGUAAGCCGGGAGGUGAAAGGCCCGUGAGGGCUGCCCUGGGAGGGUUUCGCGUCCUAUCAGCUGGUUGGUGGGGUAACGGCUCACCAAGGCGAAGACGGGUAGCCGGUCUGAGAGGAUGGACGGCCACACUGGAACUGAGACACGGUCCAGACUCCUACGGGAGGCAGCAGUGGGGAAUAUUGGGCAAUGGGCGGAAGCCUGACCCAGCGACGCCGCGUGAGGGACGAAGGCCCUUGGGUUGUAAACCUCUGUUGUACGGGAAGAAGCGAGUGACGGUACCGUACGAGGAAGCCCCGGCAAACUACGUGCCAGCAGCCGCGGUAACACGUAGGGGGCGAGCGUUGUCCGGAAUUACUGGGCGUAAAGGGCACGCAGGCGGAUAUGUGUGUUUGUAGUGAAAUGCCA
This 608-nucleotide ribosomal RNA is filed under the name uncultured bacterium. RNAcentral describes it as "bacterial SSU rRNA". It matches the Rfam family "Bacterial small subunit ribosomal RNA", at positions 28 to 604 of the family's 1533-position model. The record is from RNAcentral.